This 263-nucleotide ribosomal RNA is filed under the name Klebsiella pneumoniae. RNAcentral's name for it is "partial 23S ribosomal RNA". It matches the Rfam family "Bacterial large subunit ribosomal RNA", at positions 1553 to 1798 of the family's 2925-position model. Lineage: Bacteria; Pseudomonadati; Pseudomonadota; Gammaproteobacteria; Enterobacterales; Enterobacteriaceae. The record is from RNAcentral.
AGGCUGAGGUGUGAUGACGAGGCACUACGGUGCUGAAGUAACAAAUGCCCUGCUUCCAGGAUAAGCCUCUAAGCAUCAGGUAACAUCAAAUCGUACCUCAAACCGACACAGGUGGUCAGGUAGAGAAUACCAAGGCGCUUGAGAGAACUCGGGAGAAGGAACUAGGCAAAAUGGUGCCGUAACUUCGGGAGAAGGCACGCUGGUGUGUAGGUGAAGACCCUGCGGGUGGAGCUGAGACCAGUCGAAGAUACCAGCUGGCUGCA